RNAcentral lists this ribosomal RNA (253 nucleotides) under uncultured bacterium. RNAcentral's name for it is "partial 16S ribosomal RNA". It matches the Rfam family "Bacterial small subunit ribosomal RNA", at positions 524 to 776 of the family's 1533-position model. The record is from RNAcentral.
UACGAAGGGGGCUAGCGUUGUUCGGAAUUACUGGGCGUAAAGCGCGCGUAGGCGGACUGACAAGUCGGGGGUGAAAUCCCGAGGCUCAACCUCGGAACUGCCUUCGAUACUGUCAGUCUUGAGGUCGGGAGAGGUGAGUGGAACUCCGAGUGUAGAGGUGAAAUUCGUAGAUAUCGGGAGGAACACCAGUGGCGAAGGCGGCCACCUGGACGGAUACUGACGCUGAGACGCGAAAGCGUGGGUAGCAAACAGG